GGCGGUGCCUCAGCCGACAGAAGGAUCUUUGCUGAUAUUGCGCUGCACUUCUUCACGAGGGCCUGACCACACCACCGAAUCCCAUCCUCCACCUGCAGAACGAAAACAAGACAAGAACUCAUGCCUCCUAAAAUAUCUUGGACAUAUUGCAGACAAACAUGUGGUGUUCAUAGUACUCGAGGAAUGGCACACCUGUUGCAGGAUCUGUUGGCCGCGCUCCCUCUCUGCUGCGUUGAACACUGGCAAGGACACCAGCGGGCCAGCAGAUGCGGCGUUCUCCUUUCUAACAGCUGGAACAUCCUUGGCAGUCAUCCCUGAUGAGCAUGCCGUGGCCUUGCGUCUCUGGAGCAGGUGCUCAAUGCUCGUCUCUGCUGGGUGCAGCUCCCUGACUGGAAGUUCAUCCUCUAGGAUGAUCACAGAAUCAGCAGCAUGCCGCUGGUUGCCCACGGCUGAGCUGGUGCUGAAGAAGGAGAUGAGCAGCGGUGGAAGCUCUGCAGGCCUGCAGUGGCUUGUAGCAAGAAUGAGCACUGGGUUCGAUGGCG
RNAcentral lists this long non-coding RNA (542 nucleotides) under Coccomyxa subellipsoidea. RNAcentral's name for it is "long non-coding RNA (CSUB_LNC000762)". The record is from RNAcentral. Lineage: Eukaryota; Viridiplantae; Chlorophyta; Trebouxiophyceae; Coccomyxaceae.